Long non-coding RNA from Acanthopagrus latus (yellowfin seabream), 578 nucleotides. RefSeq lists it as uncharacterized. Lineage: Eukaryota; Metazoa; Chordata; Actinopteri; Spariformes; Sparidae. The transcript is spliced from 3 exons. The record is from RefSeq and is a predicted model, not a curated record.
GCGGGGCUAACUACCGAUGGCGCACCUACAAUGUGUGGAGGAAAAACAUGCUUGGUUGGACUAGUAAUGUUAAAUGACAUUUGUGUGUUCCAGCUGAGUUUGGGCUGUUUUGAGUAGUUAUUAUCAUUAUAAGGGCCUGCAGAGCCAUAACCCUGCAAAGUAGUAGUAACUCCUGGCUUCUACAUUACUGUAAUCGCUUCAGCCUGGCUCGCAGUGCGUUCAGUUGUUUCAGCACAGAAGAUGGUUCGGCAUUGAUUGGUGAAGCAUUCAGGUCAACUGCUGAUGGCCAGCGACAGUCUGACAGACAGACGCAGACAAUCUACAACACAGGCCGUGACACAGACUGGUACCAAGAUAUGGAACCACAGGGGGCAUGUUAAAGCACUAUACUCAUUGAGACAUGCCCCACGCAUGACUCUCGACCCCUGGGUUCCUCCAGCCACAAUACAGCUCUGUGUAACUUCAUCCUCCUACUAUCGAUCCCUUUUCCAACCCUCACCUGAUCAUCCACAGAACAUGACCCUCAGACUGUCCAUUUCGAAUCUUCUGUCAAUUAGAAUAAAACUACUUUUAUGCUA